GGAUGCGAUCAUACCAGCACUAAAGCACCGGAUCCCAUCAGAACUCCGAAGUAGAGCGUGCUUGGGCGAGAGUAGUACUAGGAUGGGUGACCUCCUGGGAAGUCCUCGUGUUGCAUUCC
Molecule: ribosomal RNA, 119 nt
Filed under: Triticum dicoccoides
Lineage: Eukaryota; Viridiplantae; Streptophyta; Magnoliopsida; Poales; Poaceae
Source: RNAcentral